GCCUCCGCCGCCUCAGCUUCCCGAGCGAGCCCUGCGGCCGCCGGAGCAGCUCCCGCGGCGGAGCAGGAGCCGGAUGGUCAGAGGAGCCCGGCAGCCCCAGCAGCCGCGGAGUCGCCUGGCCCCCAGACUGACUGGCACAGUGGAGAAACCGCCUCGAAAACGGAGAAGCAGGGUCUGGCUCUGUCAUCCAGGCUGUAGUGCAGUGGUGCAAUCUCAGCAUACUGCAACCUCCACCUCCUGGGCUCAAGCCACCCAGCCAAUUCAGCCUCUGGAGUAGCUGGGACUACAAGCGCCUGACACCUCACCCAGCUCUUUUUUUUUUUUUUUUUUUUGUAGAGACAAGGUUUGGCCAUGUUGCCCAGGCUGGUCUCAAACUCCUGGGCUCAAAUGAUCCAACCACCUUGGCCUACUAAAGUGCUGUGAUUACAAGUGUGAGCUGCCAUGCCUGGCUGUAAAUAAAAUUGUUACUAAAAUUAUUUUCACUUACUUUUUCCUGAGACAAAGUCUUACUUUGUUGCCCGUACUGGAGUGCAGUGAUGUGAUCUUGACUCACUGCAAUCUCCGCCUCCUGGGUUCAAGCAAUUCUCUUUCCUCAGCCUCCCGAUUAGCUGGGAUUACAGGCGCCUGCCACCAUGCCCGGCUAAUUUUUGUAUUUUUAGUAGAGACGGGGUUUCAACAUGUUGGCCAGGCUGGUCUUGAACUCCUGGCCUCAAGUGCUCUGUCUGACUAGGCCUCCCAAAGUGCUGGGAUUACAGGUGUGAGCCACCGGGCCUGGCCUUCACUUACUUCUUUUUCCUUUUUAUUUUUCUUCUGAGACAGGGCUUGGCUCUGUUGUCAAGGCUGAAGUGAAGUGGUGCAAUCACAGCUCACUGCAGCCUCGACCUGGUAAUCCUUCCACCUCAGCCUCCCAAGUACCUGGGACUACAGAUGUGCACCACCAUGCCAGGCUAACUUUUUAUUUUUUGUAAGAGACAGGGUCUCACUGUGUUGCUCAGGCUGGUCUCCUGUGCUCAAGUGAUGCGCCAGCCUUGGCCUCCCAAAGUGCUAGGAUUACAGGCGUGAGCCACCAUACCCAGCCUUUCUUUUUAUUUUUUCUAAUAUGGCUACUAGAAAAUUAAAAGCUGCAUACAUUUAACUUGCAUUGUAUUUCUUUGCAUUGUAUUUCUUUUGGAUAGCUCUCAUUUAACUCUCAUUACCCCACUGCCAGACUCUUCAGUAGCCUUCUGACUGGUUUCCCUACCUUGAAUCUGUAAUUCCCUCCCUGUACUGUGCAAAUCGAUCUUGUAAUUCUCAUGCUUAGGAUCCCUCUGUGCUUCCUCAUUGCUUAUUGAA
This 1332-nucleotide long non-coding RNA is filed under the name Homo sapiens (human). RNAcentral's name for it is "long non-coding RNA NONHSAT221316.1". The record is from RNAcentral. Lineage: Eukaryota; Metazoa; Chordata; Mammalia; Primates; Hominidae.